CGCAACGAGCGCAACCCUUAUCCUUUGUUGCCAGCGGUCCGGCCGGGAACUCAAAGGAGACUGCCAGUGAUAAACUGGAGGAAGGUGGGGAUGACGUCAAGUCAUCAUGGCCCUUACGACCAGGGCUACACACGUGCUACAAUGGCGCAUACAAAGAGAAGCGACCUCGCGAGAGCAAGCGGACCUCAUAAAGUGCGUCGUAGUCCGGAUUGGAGUCUGCAACUCGACUCCAUGAAGUCGGAAUCGCUAGUAAUCGUGGAUCAGAAUGCCACGGUGAAUACGUUCCCGGGCCUUGUACACACCGCCCGUCACACCAUGGGAGUGGGUUGCAAAAGAAGUAGGUAGCUUAACCUUCGGGAGGGCGCUUACCACUUUGUGAUUCAUGACUGGGGUGAAGUCGUAACAAGGUAACCGUAGGGGAACCUGCGGUUGGAUCACCUCCUUACCUUAAAGAAGC
RNAcentral lists this ribosomal RNA (457 nucleotides) under Escherichia coli. Its description in RNAcentral is "bacterial SSU rRNA". It matches the Rfam family "Bacterial small subunit ribosomal RNA", at positions 1088 to 1533 of the family's 1533-position model. Lineage: Bacteria; Pseudomonadati; Pseudomonadota; Gammaproteobacteria; Enterobacterales; Enterobacteriaceae. The record is from RNAcentral. RNAcentral also lists the same sequence under 1 other name.